RNAcentral lists this ribosomal RNA (460 nucleotides) under uncultured bacterium. RNAcentral's name for it is "partial 16S ribosomal RNA". It matches the Rfam family "Bacterial small subunit ribosomal RNA", at positions 338 to 795 of the family's 1533-position model. The record is from RNAcentral.
CCUACGGGAGGCAGCAGUGAGGAAUAUUGGUCAAUGGGCGAGAGUCUGAACCAGCCAAGUAGCGUGAAGGAUGACUGCCCUACGGGUUGUAAACUUCUUUUAUAUGGGAAUAAAGCGAGGCACGUGUGGCUUUUUGUAUGUACUUUAUGAAUAAGGAUCGGCUAACUCCGUGCCAGCAGCCGCGGUAAUACGGAGGAUCCGAGCGUUAUCCGGAUUUAUUGGGUUUAAAGGGAGCGUAGAUGGGUUGUUAAGUCAGUUGUGAAAGUUUGCGGCUCAACCGUAAAAUUGCAAUUGAUACUGGCAGCCUUGAGUACAGUUGAGGUAGGCGGAAUUCGUGGUGUAGCGGUGAAAUGCUUAGAUAUCACGAAGAACUCCGAUUGCGAAGGCAGCCUACUAAACUGCCACUGACAUUGAUGCUCGAAAGUGUGGGUAUCAAACAGGAUUAGAUACCCCAGUAGUC